UACGGAGGGUGCAAGCGUUACUCGGAAUCACUGGGCGUAAAGGAUGCGUAGGCUGGAAAUCAAGUCGAGAGUGAAAUCCAACGGCUCAACCGUUGAACUGCUCUCGAAACUGGUUACCUAGAAUAUGGGAGAGGUAGAUGGAAUUGGUGGUGUAGGGGUAAAAUCCGUAGAUAUCACCAGGAAUACCGAUUGCGAAGGCGAUCUACUGGAACAUUAUUGACGCUGAGGCAUGAAAGCGUGGGGAGCAAAC
This 250-nucleotide ribosomal RNA is filed under the name uncultured bacterium. RNAcentral's name for it is "partial 16S ribosomal RNA". It matches the Rfam family "Bacterial small subunit ribosomal RNA", at positions 524 to 773 of the family's 1533-position model. RNAcentral also lists the same sequence under 1 other name. The record is from RNAcentral.